UACGUAGGGUGCAAGCGUUGUCCGGAUUUAUUGGGCGUAAAGAGCUCGUAGGCGGUCUGUCGCGUCGGAUGUGAAAACCCAGGGCUCAACCCUGGGCCUGCAUUCGAUACGGGCAGACUAGAGUGUGGCAGGGGAGACUGGAAUUCCUGGUGUAGCGGUGAAAUGCGCAGAUAUCAGGAGGAACACCGGUGGCGAAGGCGGGUCUCUGGACAGUUCCUGACGCUGAGGCACGAAGGUCAGGGGAGCAAACGGG
Molecule: ribosomal RNA, 253 nt
Filed under: uncultured bacterium
Lineage: Bacteria
Description: partial 16S ribosomal RNA
Rfam family: Bacterial small subunit ribosomal RNA
Source: RNAcentral